RNAcentral lists this ribosomal RNA (318 nucleotides) under Triticum aestivum (bread wheat). RNAcentral describes it as "partial small subunit ribosomal RNA". Lineage: Eukaryota; Viridiplantae; Streptophyta; Magnoliopsida; Poales; Poaceae. The record is from RNAcentral.
AUGCCUAGCGUAGCUGCUCCUACUGUCUCAACUUUGGUUCCACAAAAUCACAACAGCAAUAACCGAAGUGCUAGUUCUAAUUCUAGUACACCACAUCUACUGACUGUCAAUACUGGGAUUCCGUGCGGGCCGGUACCCGAUUCAUAUUUUAAUGGGUCUUCGUUGCAAGCAUCACAAGCUCAAAUUUCUUUGCCGGAGUUUCCAUCACGUGCUAGCGUUCCAUCUGCUCCACAAACUAGUUCUCUACAGUCGAAUGAUAGUUUUAAGGAUAAGCUUGCUAGUAUACUAAGAGAAUUCGGUUUAGAACCUAAGAGUUAA